RNAcentral lists this ribosomal RNA (343 nucleotides) under uncultured bacterium. Its description in RNAcentral is "bacterial SSU rRNA". It matches the Rfam family "Bacterial small subunit ribosomal RNA", at positions 1 to 339 of the family's 1533-position model. The record is from RNAcentral.
GUCUCUACAGUUUGAUCCUGGCUCAGACGAACGCUGGCGGCGCGCCUAAUACAUGCAAGUCGAGCGAGAAGACGUAGCAAUACGUUUGUAAAAGCGGCGAACGGGUGAGGAAUACAUGGGUAACUACCCUCGAUGGGGAUAACUAGCCGAAAGGUUAGCUAAUACCGCAUACGACUCUCGGUCUGCGGAUCGGGAGGGAAAGCGAUACCGUGGGUAUCGCGCUCUUGGAUGGGCUCAUGUCCUAUCAGCUUGUUGGUGAGGUAACGGCUCACCAAGGCUUCGACGGGUAGCUGGUCUGAGAGGACGAUCAGCCACACUGGCACUGCGACACGGGCCAGACUCC